RNAcentral lists this ribosomal RNA (507 nucleotides) under uncultured Glomeromycotina. RNAcentral's name for it is "partial small subunit ribosomal RNA". It matches the Rfam family "Eukaryotic small subunit ribosomal RNA", at positions 591 to 1092 of the family's 1831-position model. The record is from RNAcentral. Lineage: Eukaryota; Fungi; Glomeromycota.
CCAAUAGCGUAUAUUAAAGUUGUUGCAGUUAAAAAGCUCGUAGUUGAAUUUCGGGAUUGACGUGAUGGUCAUGCCUUAAGGGGUAUGAACUGUUACAGUUGAUUUCUCACCUUCUGGAGAAACUUGAUGUCCUUUAUUGGGUGUCUUGCGGAUCCAGGACCUUUACCUUGAAAAAAUUAGAGUGUUUAAAGCAGGCAUUUUUGCCCGAAUACAUUAGCAUGGAAUAAUAGAAUAGGACGGCAUGGUUCUAUUUUGUUGGUUUCUAGGAUCACCGUAAUGAUUAAUAGGGAUAGUUGGGGGCAUUAGUAUUCAAUUGUCAGAGGUGAAAUUCUUGGAUUUAUUGAAGACUAACUACUGCGAAAGCAUUUGCCAAGGAUGUUUUCAUUAAUCAAGAACGAAAGCUAGGGGAUCGAAGACGAUCAGAUACCGUCGUAGUCUUAACCAUAAACUAUGCCGACUAGGAAUCAGACGAUGUUAAUUUUUUAAUGACUCGUUUGGCACCUUACG